This 1406-nucleotide ribosomal RNA is filed under the name Klebsiella pneumoniae. Its description in RNAcentral is "bacterial SSU rRNA". It matches the Rfam family "Bacterial small subunit ribosomal RNA". The record is from RNAcentral. Lineage: Bacteria; Pseudomonadati; Pseudomonadota; Gammaproteobacteria; Enterobacterales; Enterobacteriaceae.
ACACAUGCAAGUCGAGCGGUAGCACAGAGAGCUUGCUCUCGGGUGACGAGCGGCGGACGGGUGAGUAAUGUCUGGGAAACUGCCUGAUGGAGGGGGAUAACUACUGGAAACGGUAGCUAAUACCGCAUAACGUCGCAAGACCAAAGUGGGGGACCUUCGGGCCUCAUGCCAUCAGAUGUGCCCAGAUGGGAUUAGCUAGUAGGUGGGGUAACGGCUCACCUAGGCGACGAUCCCUAGCUGGUCUGAGAGGAUGACCAGCCACACUGGAACUGAGACACGGUCCAGACUCCUACGGGAGGCAGCAGUGGGGAAUAUUGCACAAUGGGCGCAAGCCUGAUGCAGCCAUGCCGCGUGUGUGAAGAAGGCCUUCGGGUUGUAAAGCACUUUCAGCGGGGAGGAAGGCGGUGAGGUUAAUAACCUUGUCGAUUGACGUUACCCGCAGAAGAAGCACCGGCUAACUCCGUGCCAGCAGCCGCGGUAAUACGGAGGGUGCAAGCGUUAAUCGGAAUUACUGGGCGUAAAGCGCACGCAGGCGGUCUGUCAAGUCGGAUGUGAAAUCCCCGGGCUCAACCUGGGAACUGCAUUCGAAACUGGCAGGCUAGAGUCUUGUAGAGGGGGGUAGAAUUCCAGGUGUAGCGGUGAAAUGCGUAGAGAUCUGGAGGAAUACCGGUGGCGAAGGCGGCCCCCUGGACAAAGACUGACGCUCAGGUGCGAAAGCGUGGGGAGCAAACAGGAUUAGAUACCCUGGUAGUCCACGCCGUAAACGAUGUCGAUUUGGAGGUUGUGCCCUUGAGGCGUGGCUUCCGGAGCUAACGCGUUAAAUCGACCGCCUGGGGAGUACGGCCGCAAGGUUAAAACUCAAAUGAAUUGACGGGGGCCCGCACAAGCGGUGGAGCAUGUGGUUUAAUUCGAUGCAACGCGAAGAACCUUACCUGGUCUUGACAUCCACAGAACUUAGCAGAGAUGCUUUGGUGCCUUCGGGAACUGUGAGACAGGUGCUGCAUGGCUGUCGUCAGCUCGUGUUGUGAAAUGUUGGGUUAAGUCCCGCAACGAGCGCAACCCUUAUCCUUUGUUGCCAGCGGUCCGGCCGGGAACUCAAAGGAGACUGCCAGUGAUAAACUGGAGGAAGGUGGGGAUGACGUCAAGUCAUCAUGGCCCUUACGACCAGGGCUACACACGUGCUACAAUGGCAUAUACAAAGAGAAGCGACCUCGCGAGAGCAAGCGGACCUCAUAAAGUAUGUCGUAGUCCGGAUUGGAGUCUGCAACUCGACUCCAUGAAGUCGGAAUCGCUAGUAAUCGUAGAUCAGAAUGCUACGGUGAAUACGUUCCCGGGCCUUGUACACACCGCCCGUCACACCAUGGGAGUGGGUUGCAAAAGAAGUAGGUAGCUUAACCUUCGGGAGG